GAGAGAGGUCAUGAGACAAUAGGAACUGCUAAUUCUUAUGAACAUGGUUAAACUCCGUGACUCACUCG
This 68-nucleotide transfer RNA is filed under the name Brycon henni. RNAcentral describes it as "tRNA-Ser". Lineage: Eukaryota; Metazoa; Chordata; Actinopteri; Characiformes; Bryconidae. The record is from RNAcentral.